Long non-coding RNA from Mesocricetus auratus (golden hamster), 1958 nucleotides. RefSeq lists it as uncharacterized. The record is from RefSeq and is a predicted model, not a curated record. The transcript has 6 exons. Lineage: Eukaryota; Metazoa; Chordata; Mammalia; Rodentia; Cricetidae.
GAUCCAGUCUUCUCUCCAGGGAGCUCAGCAAAGGGAGGACGAGAUGAGGGAAGCAGAUGGGUCCAUAGUGUGAGACCCAGACUCCUGCUUCCUGGGAUCCAUGGGACUAGGUUUCUUGCUUGCUUGCUUCCCUCUCUUUUUUUCUCUUUCUUUCUUUUUUAAUUUUAGUUUUUCAAUACAGGGUUUCUCUGUGUAGCCCUGGCCGUCCUAGAACUCACAGAGAUCCGCCUGCCUCUGCCACCUGAGUGCUGGGAUUAAAGGUGUGUGCCACCACGCCCCUGCAGUUUCUUCCUUGUGACGUGUUUUCUAUUCCUGUCUGUCUGAUGUCGUGGUGCUUACAAUGUACCAUAAGAAUGAGCUUGACUUGGGAAAGGCAGUGAGGCAUACCAUGUUGAGUUCAGGGCUGGAUGCCAUUAGGCCCAGCUAUUGUCUCCUCAGCUGCUCCCCAAUGACUGCAUGAGUUUGCAAAGGAUUAGGGGUAAGUGUUGGGCAGUUACUGCCUUUUAGAAAGGCUCUGAAGCUGUAUGGCAUUUCCUGAGCUCCCUGCAGCACUGCAUCCCUGCCUGUCCAGAUGGACAUACAUGAUGAAAAGAAGAAAACACCGGAUGUGAGGAAGAAAAAGCUCCCUUGUAUAUAUUCACACAAGGAGAAUCACUGACAUACAAUUCACGUGGACGGUCCUGGAGUCACACAUAGCUGGAGACCAAGAAGAUGAGAGGGUGGAGAGAAGAUGGCAGACGGUCUAAUAACUCAGAUCCAGCGAAUGACAUGGUGGCUCUGCGGUCCUAUAAAUCUGCUGUGAGCAGCCCUUGCUUCUACAGGACAUUGCUUAGUUUUCUGACUGUCCUUCACAACCAACCCAAAUUCUGCACACUAGUGAGGAACCUGCGACAGUGUCAUGGCUACCGGAAAUUUGCCAAACCACAGAACUGAGCAUUGAACCCAGGGCCUUGUGCAUACUCACCACUGAGCCACAUUCCCAGCCUUCUUUUUACUUUUUAUUUUGAAGUAAGGUCUCAGUAAGUUAUUCAGGAGGUACCCAAAGCUUUUGAUGCCCAGGCUCCGACAAAAGUUGGACAGAUCCUUCAAAUCUCAGCUGAAGUCCAUCACCUUCAGUGGCAGCUGGGGAAAUGAUCGCUGAGGGUCGGCGGCAUCUGACACUGCAUUACAGAUGCGAUGCUGGGGAGGCCGGUGGUGCAAGGACCCUGGCAGAGUUGGAAGGACCCAAACCUUCUCUCCAUGUCUUAGAGUCACCGUGGUGGGCACAUCCUGGGCAGAGCUCCUCAGACUGUAACAUUCGCUAUCACCAGCUCACUGCAUGCCUGGAUUACUUUCACUUACAGGUUUUCCAAAUGUGAGCUGAGCUCCGAGAUGGGAAGCACACCUCCACCCAACUUCACAGGACCGGUGUUCAUGUCUCUCAAGUCUCCGGUGGAAACCUGCAGACUCCACAGUGAACCAACGGAAAGGAAAGAUGAGACAAGGCCAGUGCCCUCCAGCACAGCUGCCUGGGGGCAUUUGGACCCAGCAGGAAGAGAGAAAGGAUAAGCAGGAAUCCCCUGCUCAGAGCCCUACUCUAGCUUCCUGCCACUGCCAGGCAGCCCAAGAGCCCACACCAGCAUCUGCAGAUCCUGCUGCCCUGUCAUUGUCCUUCCCGGGGCCAGGCCUGGGCAAGGAGUUUGUCUUGUAGGACAGAGGGGACAGACAGCCUGCAGGAAACCCCAGCCUUGAAAUAAGACCCUUCAUAUGGCUGCUGAGGCCCUGACAGGGCAGAGGAGGGAAGAAACGUCGCUGGUCUGGCCUGGCCUGAGCUGACACAUUUAGACACCCAGUUGUGUUUUUAAAUAAAGUUAUCCACACUGUUAUUAUGUUUUGCACAUGAGUAGUGGGGAGGAAGAAGGAGGGAUUAAGAAAAAGAGCUUAUUGAAUGUGAAAAUAUAAAACACAUAAUAAUUUCA